CUUUUUUCAAAUUCCAAAAUCCCCCUUCUGACAGCUGACAUUUUUCUCUUCAAUUCUCUCUUUAGGGUUUUUUGAAUCUUCAACAGCUCCUUUUUCUUCCUUCAAACUAGGGCUUUAGAUUCCAUUCUCUUUCCCUUUGGAUCCCAAUUUCUCAAUUUAGGGUUUUUCAAUGCCUGAUUGUUGAAUGAUUCAUCGACUUUCUCUUUUGAAGGUAUAGCCUGUGUCACUUCGAUAUAAAACUGGAGUUAUCAGCAUGUUUGGCUUCAACAUUAGCAGAUUUACAAUCAUAAGCUUUUUCUUCCAUUUGGCUGAAUGGCAUCCUUUGGAAUAGCAAAGAUGCAUAGGGCUUGAGCCCUCUCUAUCCCACUCUUCUAUUUCAGAAUUAGGAGUUGAUUUUCUUUCGUGGCUGAGAAUUUUGGUAACUGCUUUAAAGUUUGAGCUUUUGAUGUAUCAUAAGAACUAUUCACUUGCCAGAGUAAUGGGCUGUUGUAGCUGUUUUGGGUUCUGGAAGCCCAAACGGAGAACUAGGCCCAUUUCUGUGAGGAAUCAUAAUCUCUCCCAGGAGUUUUUGUUGGAUGAAGAAAUUGAUGAUGAUUAUGAUGGCUCAUAUAAUGGUGAGGUCACUGACACUGCCUAUGGGGAGGAUGGUGAGUUGCCAAGCCGUGUCAAACGUUCAGAAGAAAUUUUAAGAUUAAGAGAGCAGAGUGGAAUGAUUUGCAGGCAAUUUCCUGUCAAGGAAACCCAGAAACUUGUUCGCUCAGAGGAUGAGGAUGGUAAUAAGAUGGUCAAUCAAUAUGUUCGUGUGUGUAAGAUUGGUGCUGGUAGCUAUGGCAAAGUGGUUUUGUAUAGGAGCAGCACAGAUGGAAAGAAUUAUGCAAUUAAGGCUUUUCAUAAAUCUCAUUUAUUGAAACUUCGGGUUGCUCCUUCAGAGACUGCAAUGAGUGAUGUUCUCCGUGAGGUUUUAAUCAUGAAAAUGCUAGACCAUCCUAAUAUUGUCAAUCUCAUUGAGGUGAUUGAUGACCCAAACACAGAUCACUUCUACAUGGUUCUUGAAUAUGUUGAAGGAAAAUGGGUUUGGGAAGGUUCUGGUCCUCCUGGUGGAAUUGGAGAAAGUACUGCUAGAAAGUACUUGCGGGAUAUUGUAUCUGGACUAAUGUAUCUCCAUGCGCAUGUAUGAUCUUGAUACACUUCAUGCAAUAUCGUGUUUGAUUGGAUAUUUACUUGUCUGCAUGCUUACUCUUUGCAGAAGCAACCUUUUUGUGAAUUUGCAUGCUAUCAUAUGUCUGAUUGUUUGUCAUGGGGUAAACAUAUACUAAUUACUAAGAAUGAUGGCAUUGGCUUAAGAAUCUUGAAAGUAUUUAGGGAAUGGUUUUAGAAGCCUAUGCCUAUACAUAUCAUUAUGUUUUAGUUAGCCAUGUAGGCCCUUGCUGUAUUCUUCCAAGUAGCUCUCGCAUCUUCAUGUUUGAAGUUUCAAAAUAAAUAUAUGAACUUGUUGCCAUGGAAGCAUGUCUCUAGAAGGUCGUCUGAUUUUUCAAUUCUCUGAUAUUGAAUGAGCCAUAGUGUUGCUUAUCAAAGAAAGAAAAGGAAAUUAAUCUGAAGUCUUGAUUAUUAUGUGAAAAAUUGGCUUAUUCAUACUUUAUAGUGGUCCUAAAUGAUUGCUAGGGCAUUAAAACAAGUCCAUUCAAAUUUCUUAAUUUUUAUCACAAUUAAUGAUAAAGUUGGCACGUGAAGGUCAAGUCUCCUUAUAUGGACGUGAAGAGUAAAGCAUGAACUUUGGUAUUAAUUUACGAGCAAGUUAAAGAAUUUGGAUCAGGUAGUUUUAAUAAAAGUUUCUCGAGUUACAAGAUUAACAGUCAAAAUCUCUUUAUUUGAGUUUAAGAAUGGCAAUGGGGAAGGGGCAAAGGGCAGGUAUGGGGAUCCUCGUUUUAAAUUUAUAAUUUUAUAAUUAUGAAAAGUUAUAAUUUUCUACAUUUUCAAAUAAUAUAUACAUUUGUGUUAAGUUUUAAAUAUUGUUAUUUGGUGUUUAAGGAAAACUAACAGAACUGAGUAAUAAUGGUGUGUUUUUAAAGCGAAAUCGAAUUUAUAAAACGCAAAAGUUUUAAUAUAAAAGUUAUUUAUUAAGUUAUGGUAAAUCAAAGUGGGUCUCAGAGCGGGGAUGGAUUCCCUGUCGAGGUGGAUUGGUUUUUGCCAACUUUGUUUGAGGUGCUCAAAUCUACAUGUAUAUAUAUAUAUAUAUAUUCCAUUUUUUUUUUUAUAAAUUUAUAGUGUAAUAAUUUAAAAUAUUCCAACUACAAAUGCACUAGCCGCGUGGUACCUAAUAAGCCUUUACUCUUUAGUACCUAAUAGCUACAAGCUAGCAGUCAUUAGGGAGGAGCAUUCUUGCUGCUUUAAGCUGUCUGCGACAUGAGCUAUUACACCAGCACCAGCAUUGUGAAGCCAUUCAUUUUUCACAUGUAUGUUGUUAUGGGCGAAAAAAGGCCAAAAUGCUGAGUGGAAGCUGACAUCGACUUUCUUCCAUCCCAACUGCUGUAAGCCAUGUAUCAUUUCCUCUUCCACAAUUUCCUGAUACUCCACCGUGUUUUGCACACUGGGUUCAUUUUGUGCUGCCUCCUUUGCUUUAGCCGCUUCUGGAGGAAAAUGAGGGCCAUCAGAAGAGAUUGGUGGACAAUACUCAACAUCUACGACAUGCUUGUAACCAUCCAAAGAUCGCCGAGGAGGCUUGACAAGUUCCUGCUCUCUCCUUAUGGAGGAUGUACGCCAGCCAACCAUAUGAUCAUAAGAUACAUUUGCAUAGAUGGUGCGACAUCUAAAUGCACCAAGGGCAGAUAUAAAUUUUCCAUCUUCACAAUCUGAUGCCAUUCUUAAAAGAAGUGGUGGUUUGGCAGGUUUACCAUCAGUAAGAAAAAGUUGACUACCAGUUCGACCUGCUAAUAUAGGAGCCAUGGGUGGAGCAAGUUUCUCCAGAAAUGGAAUUCCCAAAAGAAAUGGAAGCUGCUUUCUUCCUCUAACUCCAAGAUGUGGAGUUGCCAGGGUAACAAAAUUGAUUGGGUCCAAUCCAGCAAUUGUACCUCUUCUUGCAGAGCAAGGAAGUGUAGAAUCAGCAAGAUCAUUGGAUUGACCAGUAUAUAAGGCAUUCUCUGAAUAAAGAACAGCAAUAGCAUAUCUUGCAAACAAGCCACCAAGAGAAUGUGCUAAAAAGGAAAUUCGUUUCAAACUACCCAUCUUCUUUACAAUUUGCACAACAUGUUUAUAAAAUUCAGAAAAAAGAAGAAUGAAGAGAGAUAUAACUGAAUAUGUCACAACCCAUUCCCAGAAAAUCCAAGAAAUAGUCAAACUCUCAUUUGUUAAAACUAAUGAUUUCAAAGAUCUCAAGAUGCAAGACCCACUUCAUCUGCCAGUCACCUUCCCACUUCAUCAAUCCCAGAAAAGGUUUUAGCAUAGGUGUUACAUGCACUUGCAUAAAUUAGGAAGUUUUUUCCAAGACGCUUUUCCAACUCUGCUUCUACAUAUGCCCAGUCACUUGGGCUGCAUUAUGCAGAAUACUGGUCAUUCAACAUUUUGAAGGGGAAAAAUUUGCAAAAACCUAUUUACUGUUGGUUGACAUCUUUUCUCAAAACGCCAAACUCGAGGGUGUGGGCAAUGGGAGUUAUUGAUACAACUGUCACAUAGGCUUUGGUUUGGACUCUGCUUGAUCCUGAAUUACAUUUAAUAUACCUAGCCAAGAUGCCAUGAACAAGAACAAGAAGAUGAUCAGGCUCAUUAUUCCCAUUCACAAUUCCCUUGCGUGAUGCAAAAUUUCCUUGAGUUGUAGUAUUCAUAGCUUGUGCUCUAAGGCCUUGAUUUUUCCAAUAGCUAUUUACACCAGAAGAGAAAUUUAGUUCCUGAGACGAACAGCAGGAACAAGAAGAAGAGGACGGUGAAUAAGAGCUGGAACCGACAGGUCCUCCAUAAGCUCCAUAAGUUACUAAAUCUUGUUGAAUACCCACAUGGAGCUUGUAUUAAAGAAGCCGUUGGCAUCUAUCGAUAUACAGCGAGUGAAAGGGAGCGAGAAGGAAACGAAAUCCCUUAAAGUCCCGGUUUUCGAUGCUAAGUCAGCUUCAUAUACCCAUAACAUUUCUUUGUAAAGACAUAUUAAACAAUACCCAGAAGUAGCCCAUUCCUUAAAAACUUUGUACCAAUGCUCAUCAUCAACAAGCCACUGAUUGCCCUAUUUUUAAGCCAACAAAAAAUGAAGCUUUGAAUUUUCAAAGAUGUUUAUAUAAUGAUAAUGAUAAAAUUCUCAGAAUGGGUUAUGAAGGACAAGUGUUGAUGAGGGUUAAGACUGAGGAUUACAGAGAGGAUGAAUACGUAGAAAAAUCUAUAAGAGAGGGAAGCUAAGAGACAAUGGCUUUAAUAGACCAUUAGCAUUUCCUCAUAUGUUUGUUGAGAAAACAUUAUACAUGAUGAGACAAGAAAUACAGCUUGUACCUAAG
RNAcentral lists this unclassified non-coding RNA (4472 nucleotides) under Hevea brasiliensis (rubber tree). Lineage: Eukaryota; Viridiplantae; Streptophyta; Magnoliopsida; Malpighiales; Euphorbiaceae. The record is from RNAcentral.